ACCCAGGCAGACAGACAUGCAA
This 22-nucleotide unclassified non-coding RNA is filed under the name Mus musculus (house mouse). RNAcentral's name for it is "oocyte_clustered_small_RNA12650". Lineage: Eukaryota; Metazoa; Chordata; Mammalia; Rodentia; Muridae. The record is from RNAcentral.